GACGAACGCGGCGGCGUGCCUAAUACAUGCAAGUGGGACGCAAGGAAACACACUGUGCUUGCACACCGUGUUUUCUUGAGUCGCGAACGGGUGAGUAACGCGUAGGUAACCUGCCUUUAGCGGGGGAUAACUAUUGGAAACGAUAGCUAAUACCGCAUAAUAUUAAUUAUUGCAUGAUAAUUGAUUGAAAGAUGCAAGCGCAUCACUAGUAGAUGGACCUGCGUUGUAUUAGCUAGUUGGUAAGGUAAGAGCUUACCAAGGCGACGAUACAUAGCCGACCUGAGAGGGUGAUCGGCCACACUGGGACUGAGACACGGCCCAGACUCCUACGGGAGGCAGCAGUAGGGAAUCUUCGGCAAUGGACGAAAGUCUGACCGAGCAACGCCGCGUGAGUGAAGAAGGUUUUCGGAUCGUAAAGCUCUGUUGUAAGUCAAGAACGUGUGUGAGAGUGGAAAGUUCACACAGUGACGGUAGCUACCAGAAAAG
RNAcentral lists this ribosomal RNA (486 nucleotides) under Streptococcus mutans. Its description in RNAcentral is "bacterial SSU rRNA". It matches the Rfam family "Bacterial small subunit ribosomal RNA", at positions 28 to 490 of the family's 1533-position model. The record is from RNAcentral. Lineage: Bacteria; Bacillati; Bacillota; Bacilli; Lactobacillales; Streptococcaceae.